Molecule: non-coding RNA, 29 nt
Filed under: Mus musculus (house mouse)
Lineage: Eukaryota; Metazoa; Chordata; Mammalia; Rodentia; Muridae
Source: RNAcentral
UGUUCAGGAGAAGGACUCUAAUUCCUUUC